UAUAAUCAUAAACUUUAUCUGUCUUAUUAAUAUUAUAUGUGAGGUCCCUCCAGGAAGCAUUUUUACAUAAUCUGAAAAUCAUCCUAUUUUAAUAUGCCAGUGAUCACACUCAGGUCUUACAAUUAUAAUGCUGGGAAUCUAGUUCUCCCACAAAAAAUCCUAGAUAUAAGAGCAUUCCAAUAUUCUUCCAAAUCAUUUAUAUUAAUGAAAACUGGAAAUGAUUAUUACAUACUUAAAAAUAAGUUUUUGGUUAAAGAAGAUAAAGGAUGACCACUCUAUAUUAUGGAAUUAUUAUUUUUUAUUUAUAGGUUAACAGGAGUUUCUUGCUGUAUGUUGAGUGAAUAUAAAAAGUAUGGCAAAUUGUAUAAUAGAAACAAAACAAUACUUGGAAAAGUGGGGGGGAAGUAUGAUUUAGAUACUGUAAUGUAUUUGCUUUUUCUCAUGUGACACUGUAAAUUUUUGUUUUAGAAGAGUUGCAUUUACAUUUAAUUUUGACAUAAUUUUAUGGCAUUUAAAAGUUCUGAGAAAAACAGAAAACAAUAUAUUACAGUAAAUGUGGUUUUUGUUGUCAUGGAGUUUAUGUUGUGCUUAGAAGAACAGACAUUAUUCAUAUCACCCAUUAAUUAAUAUAACUUUGAUAAACAAUCUGAGAAGUUUCUAUUGCCAAUGGAUUAUAAAUGGAGUGAGUUUUAUGUGCCCCAAAUUGCCAGAUAAAUUUUCAGGAAAAAAGUUUAAAAUAUAUUAAAUUGAUACCUGAAAAAAAGAUCUCUGUAUCUCUCUUUUUAACUAUUAUUCCUUUCUGCCUCGUGUUUGUGUUUUAAUAGGUACCUUCCAUAAUCUUCCCUUUGCAAACUUCUUGAUGAUAAUGUGUAUUGACUCUACCUUUGUAUUAUCCACAUGGUGUGAAUGUUAUCCUUCUUCGGUGUCAAUGUUCUUGUGCAUAAAAUGCAGAAUUACCAAAGCUUCAUGUAGAUAAGACCAAGGGCUUGGUUCCAUCAGAGACGUGCAGCAGAGGAAGAUGGCAGAGGAGAGAACUAGAGCACGAGAAGAAUUGUCCCGCCAAUGCUUGCUUUGAAAGUUGGGAGUGGGGAAAUGCGGGUGGCCUCUAAGUAGAAAAUGACCCCUUGUCAAUAUCCAGCAAAUUUAAGUAAAUUGGGACUUACCUUCACCUGACGACUCAGCCUGGAACUUGCAGUGGAAUUGCUCUCUCGGAUGACGUUUCACAGAUCCUCCACAGUGAACCCUAAACAUAAGGGUGAUAGGAAAAAUGAACAAAAUUGUGGGAAGGGAAGUGAAACCAAACUGUUAACUCCAAGAGAACAAUAAAGAAU
Molecule: non-coding RNA, 1331 nt
Organism: Microcebus murinus (gray mouse lemur)
Lineage: Eukaryota; Metazoa; Chordata; Mammalia; Primates; Cheirogaleidae
Source: RefSeq, a predicted model, not a curated record